CGGUAAUUCCAGCUCCAAUAGCGUAUACUAAAGUUGUUGCAGUUAAAAAGCUCGUAGUUGGAUUUCUGCGGGGACGGAGCGGCCGGACGCAACUUGCGUCUCGAGCUAGCGCUUUCCCCGCAUCCUGCCGCGAACCGUGCUACCAUUAGUUUGGUGGCGCUGGGGAUCGGCUCGAUUACUUUGAGAAAAAUAGAGUGUUCAAAGCAGGCCACACGCCUUGAAUAAGUUAGCAUGGAAUAAUGACUAAGGACUUCGGUUCUAUUUUGUUGGUGUUCGGGACUGAAGUAAUGAUUGAUAGGGACAGUUGGGGCGGUCUGUAUUCCAAAGCGAGAGGUGAAAUUCUUAGACCUCCGGAAGACAAACAGCUGCGAAAGCGUUCCGCAAGGAUGUUCCCUUUGAUCAAGAACGAAAGUUGGGGGAUCGAAGACGAUUAGAUACCGUCGUAGUCUCAACUAUAAACUAUACCAGCUAGGGAUCGGCCAACGUUUAAUUAAUCGACUUGGUCGGCACCUUAUGAGAAAUCAAAGCAUCUGGGUUCCGGGGGGAGUAUGGUCGCAAGGCUGAAACUUAAAGGAAUUGACGGAAGGGCACCACCAGCCGUGGAGCCUGUGGCUUAAUUUGACUCAACACGGGAAAACUUACCAGGUCCAGACAUAGGAAGGAUUGACAGAUUGAUAGCUCUUUCUUGAUUCUGUGGGUGGUGGUGCAUGGCCGUUUUUAGUUGGUGGAGUGAUUUGUCUGCUUAAUUGCGUUAACGAACGAGACCCCAGCCUGCUAAAUAGCGCGGCUGAGCUUUGCUCGGUGCGAGCUUCUUAGAGGGACCAUGAUGCGCGAUAGCACAAGGAAGUUUGGGGCAACAACAGGUCUGUGAUGCCCUUAGAUGUUCUGGGCCGCACACGGGCUACACUGGCGCCUGCAACGAGCAUAUCAGCUGGCCCGAGAGGGUCUUGGCUAAUCUUUUGAACCGGCGCCGUGCUUGGGAUUGACCUUUGCAAUUGUUGGUCAUGCAACGAGGAAUGCCUUGUAAACGCGAGUCAUCAGCUCGCAUUGAAUACGUCCCUGCCCUUUGUACACACCGCCCGUCGCUCCUACCGAUGAAUGUUCCGAUGAAAUUUUCGGAGAGCGCCAGAGAACGGGGCUCCGCCUUGUAGAUCUGGAGGCUCAAAGUCACUUAAAUCUGAACAUUUCGAGGAAGGAGAAGUCGUAACAAGGUAACC
This 1217-nucleotide ribosomal RNA is filed under the name uncultured Rhizaria. RNAcentral's name for it is "SSU rRNA". It matches the Rfam family "Eukaryotic small subunit ribosomal RNA", at positions 577 to 1804 of the family's 1831-position model. The record is from RNAcentral.